GAAGUUGGUCGGAUGGUCGCUGGUAGGUUUGCUUAUCAGAGGAAAGUCCGGGCUCCAUAGAGCAAAGUGCUAGCUAACAGCUAGGUAGGGUGACCUAAUGGAAAGUGCUGCAGAGAUUUAAACCGCCUGUUUCGGCAGGUAAGGGUGAGAAGGUGCGGUAAGAGCGCACCGCGCGGAAGGCAACAACCGUGGCAAGGUAAACCCCACUUGGAGCAAGCUCAAAUAGGCUACCAUUGAUGCGGCUCGCAUAAGGUAGCGGGUAGAGUGCUAAAGGGUAUUGGUGACAAUGCGCGUAGAUGAAUGACUAUCUAUUACAGAACCCGGCUUAUAGACUAACUUCUUAC
Candidatus Thioglobus autotrophicus is the source of this 344-nucleotide non-coding RNA. It matches the Rfam family "Bacterial RNase P class A". Rfam says of the family: Ribonuclease P (RNase P) is a ubiquitous endoribonuclease, found in archaea, bacteria and eukarya as well as chloroplasts and mitochondria. Its best characterised activity is the generation of mature 5'-ends of tRNAs by cleaving the 5'-leader elements of precursor-tRNAs. NCBI's taxonomy places the organism in Bacteria, Pseudomonadati, Pseudomonadota, Gammaproteobacteria, Pseudothioglobaceae (SeqCode). The record is from Rfam.